RNAcentral lists this ribosomal RNA (114 nucleotides) under uncultured bacterium. Its description in RNAcentral is "partial 16S ribosomal RNA". It matches the Rfam family "Bacterial small subunit ribosomal RNA", at positions 557 to 670 of the family's 1533-position model. The record is from RNAcentral.
GGCGUAAAGGACGCGUAGGCGGGAUAUCAAGUCAGGUGUGAAAUCCUACAGCUUAACUGUAGAACUGCACUUGAAACUGGUAACCUAGAGUAUGGGAGGGGGAGAUGGAAUUAG